GUGUUCUUGCCGCAUGCUACAAGGCACUUAACGACCACCAUGUCCUGCUUGAAGGGACUCUCUUGAAGCCUAACAUGGUGACUCCAGGAUCUGAUUCCAAAAAGGUUGCGCCCGAGGUGGUUGCCGAGCACACUGUCCGCGCCUUGCAGCGCACCAUGCCUGCAGCUGUCCCUGCUGUGGCUUUCCUCUCUGGUGGGCAGAGCGAGGAGGACGCUACCCUCAACCUCAACGCCAUGAACAAGUUAAAGGCGAAGAAGCCAUGGACUCUUUCAUUCUCCUUCGGACGUGCCCUUCAGCAGAGCACUCUCAAGGCUUGGUCAGGAAAGGAGGAGAAUGUGAAGAAGGCUCAGGAAGCUUUCCUCACCAGGGCCAAGGCUAACUCGGAAGCGACAUUGGGAGCCUACAAGGGUGACGCCAAGCUUGGCGAGGGUGCCGCCGAGAACCUUCAUGUCAAGGACUACAAGUAUUGAUUGGGGAAGCUGUCGAAUACCAAAUUGUUAUGCGGUUAGAAGGUAGCUUUGUUUUCGCGGUCUCGUAACCUAGGUCGUUCCUUUUUGUUUGCUGAAACUUUGAUCGUGAUCUCAGUCGUGCUGAGAUUAUUACCGGAUACUAGUAGGUUUUGAUAAAAGCUUUGAGGAGAGUUUUAGUUUGUUCAUCGACUUGGUUUUAGUUUGGAGAAAUGUAAACUUCUUUUGUUAUAUAUUUGGGUUCAUUGAGAAUGUGUUUAUUUGAAAGUUCUUUAUUCAUUUUUUUAUUGGGUUAGGUAUUGUUUAGGCCCAAUAAUGUAAUUAUUGGGCCUUCACAACAUUUUUGAAUUAGACAAAUUUAAAAUUAUAAGAUAUUUAUUUAUAAUGAAGAAAAUAGUUUUAUAAAAAUGUUAAAUUUAAUCAAGUGGUUGUAUUGGGGGAUUUUAGUGAUUUUGUUAAAGAUGAUAUUUGAGAGAAUACAUAAAAAAAAUAAUCAGUUUGAUCGAUAAAAUGUAUUUUAUUCGUCUCUUAAUAUGCGUGUCAAAAUGUUUUUUAGAAAAAUGUGUUGGUCAUAUUGCGGGAUUUUAGUGAUUUUGUUAAAGAUGAUAUUUGAGAGAAUACAUAAAAAAAAUAAACAAUUGGAUCGAUAAAAUAUAUUCAUCUUCUAAAAAUAUAUGUCAAAAUGUUUUUUAGAAAAAUGUGUUCUCAAAUUCUAAUGGAUUGAUAAAAUAUAUUCGUCUUCUAAAAAUGCGUGUCAAAAUGUUUUUUAGAAAAAUGUGUUCUCAAAUUCUAACCCUUAUCUUGUAAUGUUCAUUUUAACGAAAAAUCACAUUUUUACACUAAAAAAUCAAACAUGAUACUAUUCAUUUCUUUAUUUUGUCCUUAUCGUUAAAACUCAAAGUUUUCAAACCCUUUCAUUAGUUUUCCUUAUAAAGAAGUGAAGAAUAUUCCAAGACCUAACAGCACAACUCGUUCAUUUUGUCUCCAAUAUCGGAUCGAACUGAAGAAUAUUCCAAGUUUAAAUAAUUAUUCAAAAUUAUACAUUUAUCGUAUAUCGUGCGUUAAAUAAAAACAGUACCUGACAAAAACUGACAGCACGAUGUACAAUAAACGAAUACAAUUCCGAAAAAGAUCGACAAAAAAAAAAAUUAAAAUUACCCCAACAUGGCGAGAACCUCUUGAAAGACCCCACUUGGCCAGUUGGCUCACCAGUUUCAGAAAAGAGAAGAGAUGAGAGAUGGAAAGAGAGGCAGGUGAUGCGGCCGAUGCUUCCACAACUUGGUAUUCAACAUCCUAACUAACUACCACUUCUUUUCCUUCUUUCACAAGAAUUUCAAAAGUCGACAUGAAUUAUAGUUUGACUAUUUAACGUUGGCGUAGUUAUAUUGGUUAAUUAUAGCUGAUGUACUCUACUCUACGUACUUGGUUCGUAUUUUCUUUAUAUAAUUUAGACUAGUUUAAAUAUAAUAUAACUUGUAUUAGAAUUUGUACAAAUGAGUCAUGGCUAUCAAUGUAGAACAUCAAAUUGUAAAGAUAACACUAUACAACAUGCUAGGGUUUAUUUUAUAUCAGAUAAUAUCUUUAAGCACAAUCUUACCAUGCAAAAAAAAAAAAAAAAGUUAGCUUUUUAUUCAAAAUAAUAUCUAAGAUUGACAUAACUUCUUAAUUUGAUUCUUGAGAUUGUCUACAGUCAACAAUUUCAGUCUUUUUGUGAAAAAAUUUCAUUAAAUUAAAGAAACCAUCAGUUCAAGGGAAGAAAUUGUUCUGAUAAAAAUACUCUCAAUUUAACAGAAAUUUAUCACAGAAUGACCAAAAUUAUUAAUGGUGGACAAUCUUAUGGAUCAUUUCUAUCAAUUUUAAACCUCAGAAACUAAAAUGAGAAUUUUAACGAUCUCAAAGAUCAUUUUAGGUAAAAAAAAUUCAAAAAAAAUUGGCAUCGGACAUUGAACUCCAAAAGCAUAAAACGCUUGAAGUAAACCACGAAUGAAAAAUGUCAUCAUGCCAUAUUCUUUUGCAUGCUUUUAUUUUUUAAGAAUUUUCCAGUUUUAAAUAUUAAGGAGAAUUGUUGCGCAUGAUCCAAGUGAUGCUAGUGACGAGAUGCGAUUGAUUUUGGUUCAUAUAUCAAUGUGUUGAAAGUUUUUUUUGUUUUUUUGUUUUCAAAAAUGGACUAUGGAAGACUCAUAGAGACAAUUUAAUCUCUAAUGAUCAUCAUUGUCUGAUUUACUAGUAUCAUAAAUCAAACAACUGUGUUGAAAGUUUGUUGGAUGAGGCAUAAUAACAACUCUUAUUGUUUUGAGACUUAUUUUUUAGCUAUACCCUUUGGAACUUCAUUUUGAUUUCACAUUAUUCCCUGUAAUUGGAAAGUCACCACUUUAUUCCUUGGAACUCAAAAUUCGUUCCAUUUUGACUUGUGGACUCUCUUCUCACUGAAACUUAUAGGUCACCUUUUGAAACAUAUGUGGGACUCAACACUCAAAAAGACUAUGCUACAUGUGCAAUAAAAAUUAUAAAUCUCCAUUAUGCGCUAUAUUCAACAAUAAGAGUAUUAAGUUUAAAAGAAAUUGAAGAGGUGAAAAAAUAUUAAAAAAACUUGAUUAGCUUGGUGCCCAAAUCCAACUCACUUAAGAAAUUAAUAGAUCUAAGGUAAUGUGGAGUGAAUUUUGAGUUUUAUAGAGACAACUUCCAAGUGUCAGAAAACAAAAUGAGAUCACAAUCGAGUUUCAGAGAAUAAAGUAUCAACUCUUGAGUUUCGUAGAAUAAAAUGACAUUAAAAUCAAGUUCCGAAAAUCAUAAUUAAAAUCGAGUUCAAAAGAAUGCAGCAAUCAGAAAUGCGGUGGGUGAGAUGACAAGGAACCAACAAGAAGCAUGUACUAUUUGACUCUGCAAAGCAUACAUAAUAAUGCAGGUUAUGCAUUGCAAUAAUUUUACACAGAAAAAUAAAAAAACAAAUUCAAUGACAUUUGACAGCCUUAGAAUACAUUAUGAAUUACGUAAAACACGCGUUAUAAUGUGAGAACAUUUUAUAAUUAUAUCACGUUACGGUAUAUUUUAACAUUACUGUAGUGUGUGAUUUAGUUUUUAAGUUUGAACCCCUAAAUUCUAUUUGUAUAGUUUUUAGGUUCAAUCGAUCGUAUAAAGGAGACAUUGAAGGGGCAUUCCAAAGCGUUUGAUAGCUGCCUAUAAUUACAAAACAAAGAAAAUUCCUAGGAAAUGCCAUUCAUGUUGUAAGUUUAUGUAUCCUAGACGUCAAAACUACCAACACUAGAGAAGCUACCUACACACAUACCCUUCAAUCAAACUAGUAAAAUAUUACACUUUCCUCACACUUUAAGUGAGUAUUUUUUACGGAUCCGGAUUCUUUCCUCUCUCAUUUUCCUUCUCUUCCAGUCUCAUUUUAUUUGAACGUUCACGAUUAAGCAGCAUCAACAUUUUGUGUUGACUUCUUUAAAAAGAGAGACAAAGAGGAAAGUGAGAGAGAAUGGGAGGUGAGGGUAUUUGGAGGAAAGAGAAUCCUACUUCAUUUUUUUAGUGCUUCUUCCUUGUAAACUACAACAAUCAAUUUAUACAAAAACAAAUUAAAUUUGAUUUGGAAAAAAAAAAAGACAUGGAUCUCAAAUAUAGGAGAUUUUUGGGCAGACAGAUAACCUAGCAUAUGGGCGGCCGUACACAAAAUUUCUAGUAUAGGUGCUCAAGAUAUGAUACGUGGCUUCAAUAUUCUGUGAUUUUAAGGGAAUUGGAUCCCAUUCAUAUUCAUUUUGUAGGGAUACUAGGAAUUCUCACAUUUUAGCUGUUAAUCGUAUAUUUGAUUUUUUUUAUUUAAAAUUAAACAUAAAUAGUAUCUGACGAAAAUUGAUUGUACAAUAUACGAUGAACGGAUAAGAUACGGGAAUCCUUAGGAUCCCUACAAAGUGGAUCCAAAGAGAAUCAUUUUCCGAUUUUAAGCACACCAAGAUACAAAUAAGAUAGAUGAAGAUAAUAAAAGUAUAUGAUAAAUUUUUUUAAAUCUCACCCGUUUAUUUUACGUUAUAAAUUUUUUGCAAGAUAUGAAUAUAGGCUAAAAAAGGCAAGCACUGUGAUAAAGACCGGAACCUAGAUUGCCGGUGUUGGUUUUGGCUAUCACAAGUUCACAAAACCAAAACCGGAGUCGCCUUCAAACCCCACAGGAUUUGGUUGGCUUGUUUUACUUUUUUGACCCCCUUCCUACCGACCUAACCCAAUCACGGGGACGGCGGCUGGUUUUGUGAAAUCCCACCACGCUGCCUAAUUACCUUUUUACCCUCUUCAAUUAAUUUAGGCUCUAACUUAAAAGGAAAUAUUAAUCUGUGCAUAUGAAGUAAAACAUAUGCGUGACCAACGUAAAUCUAGAGGCUUUGUAAGGCAUGUAUUUCGAUGGAAGUUUAUUUCUCAGAUUGUAUUCUAAUUUUUUUACUAGUUCUCUUUGGAUGAUCAAUUCAACUUCUGAUAUUCAAAAGCUCAUUUGACCUCAAGGUUGUACGUAUUAUGUAAAAUAUUGAUAUGAAGACUCUAAAGCUUUUAAAGCAAUUUUAUGAAGAAAAAAAAAAGAGUAACGCUUAUGAAAUUCUGUUACAGUAAAAUUAAAUCUAAUUAGAACAACGAGUCACAUAAACAAUCACAAUAUGUAUGUGGUAUUUUAUUUUCUUAAUCAUUUAAGUUAAGAUACGUCAAUCAAAACCAUACCUAACACACAUGGAAAUGUCGUGAGUUAUUAACACCGCUAUUUCUAAAACAAUUUUGAGAAAUGCUAAGUGGACUCUCUCAAAAAUAGGACUCUUCAUAAACUCUCUGUCACCUUAUAUUUUUUGCUUUAUGUUUUAUAACACUGCCACGAGAAUUAAUGUUAAACUAUGUAGCAGAAAGUCCUCGAAAAGUCUCACUCUCGAAAGAGUUCCCUUAACAUUUCUCAACAAUUUCAUUGGAGAUACUCAAUUAAUGGAGAAAACGAACAUUUUAGGAAAAAACAUAUAUAUUUUUUUUUUGUAAAUUGGGAGAAAAUCCACAGUAAUGAAUUCGUAUUAAUAUAAAAUAGGAAAUAAAUGUAGGUCCAACUAAGGGAAGGAGGGCAAAAUGGUAAAACCAAAAAAAGAAAAUUAAUAAUAAUUUAUUUAAGUGGGGAAGAAGCCAAGCAAACAGUGCAACUUUCGAGCCGUACUCGCAUAAAAAUCCUCACCCACCCUUCACUUUCUUCCAUCGUCUCUUCCUCUCUCUCGAUCUCUCAGAAAACAACCAACUCGUCUUCUUCUUCCUCUCUCAAUCUUCAGCAUCAAUCAAACAUGUCUGCUUACAGAGGCAAAUACGCUGGUAAUUUACUCAUCCCCUUCACUCUGUUACUUUUUCAUAUCGAUCUGUAAAUGUAUAAAUAUAUAUAUAUAUAUGUUGUUUUGAUUAAUUUCUUAGAUCUGAUUGUUUUUAUUCGUUUUCAAGCGUUGAUGCAUGAAACCAUGUUUUUUCAGUAUGUUCUGGUUGUUGAGUGAUUGAAUCUUACUUCUGCGUUCGAAAUCCGAAGACCCAGAUUCGUUUUUUCUAUACCGUAUCGAUUUCUUGCAGUUUUCUGGAUUUGGGUUAUCAGAAAAUCAAUCGUUUUUGCUCCUGAAACUUUUUUUGAGUACUUUGAUUACUAAAAUUUAGAUCUAAUCUGACAUGUUUAGUUAAUAUGCCUUCUAGGUUUUACUUUGUGAAGAUGGAAUACCUGUUGACUAUAUUUUACUUCAAAGUUAAAAUCAAAUUUAUGGAUUUAGAGUCCUCAAAUUUGCAAGUGUGCUUAUUGGGGUUUAUGAUUUUUUCAGUCAAUUUUAGGUAUAGGAUUCGAUUGACAAAGUUGUUUGGUACUAAAUUUUGAUCUUUUGAUCUUCAUUGAAACCCUAUGUUUUUAUGUGUGAUUAUCUUACUUAUUCAUAACACUUUACCCUUCAGGGUUCCUCGUUGUAUUUGUUUUGAUCUGAAGUUCUAAUAGUUUUGGAAGCAUGUCACAUGUACUAAUUGAUUUUUCGAUUUCGGUUGUAUUACUUGCUUGACUAUGAGGGGAUUUUGGACUUGUCCGAACUUUUGUUAUCAUUCCAUAUUUUCUUGUUUUUUGUAAUUUAAUGUAGAUGUUUCGAUGUGGGUAUUUAUAUUUUGUGAUUUCUGGUCUAUGUUGGCUGAAUUUUUUAUGCCUUGCAGAUGAGCUUAUCGCCAAUGCUGCCUACAUCGGCACCCCUGGAAAGGGUAUUCUCGCUGCUGAUGAGUCAACUGGCACAAUCGGCAAACGUUUUGCCAGCAUCAAUGUUGAGAAUGUUGAAUCAAACAGGCGUGCUCUUCGUGAACUGCUCUUCACUGCCCCUGAUGUGCUCCAAUACCUUAGUGGAGUUAUCCUCUUUGAGGAAACCCUCUACCAGAAGACCGCUUCAGGUAUUUUGACUAAAGUUUCUAGGUUUUGAUACUUCGUCAUUGCACAACUAUUUGUUCUGUCUUAUUUUGAAUCAAAUAUAUUGUGUAUGCAGUGUUUUUAUUUUGUUCGAACAAUAAAUCCUUUGAAUUUGUAUCGUUUUGUAAAGAUUUUUUUUUCAAGAGAAGUUUGGGUAAAGCAGUAAACAGUACUUGUUAUGUUUGUAAUCCUGUUUUGACAAUCCUCUGGUUGCAUGAAUUGUUACCCUUUUCCGAUUUGUGCUUGGUUUGGAUUGUUCUUUUCCUAAAUAAUAUUGUCAAAUUUUCCAUGGGAUGGUACUCAUUAUUAUGUUGUGCAGGAAAGCCAUUCGUUGAUGUCUUGAAGGAAGGUGGUGUUCUCCCUGGAAUUAAGGUCGACAAGGGUACCGUUGAGCUUGCCGGAACCAAUGGUGAGACCACAACCCAGGGUCUUGAUGGCCUUGCCCAGCGUUGCCAGAAGUACUAUGAAGCUGGUGCACGGUUCGCAAAGUGGCGUGCUGUGCUCAAGAUUGGCCCCAAUGAACCAUCUCAGCUGUCCAUCCAAGAGAAUGCCAACGGGUUGGCUCGUUAUGCCAUCAUCUGCCAGGAGAAUGGCCUAGUGCCCAUCGUUGAGCCAGAGAUCCUGGUCGAUGGACCCCAUUCCAUCGAUAAGUGUGCCGAUGUGACUGAACGUGUUCUUGCCGCAUGCUACAAGGCCCUUAACGACCACCAUGUCCUGCUUGAAGGAACUCUCUUGAAACCCAACAUGGUUACCCCAGGAUCUGAUGCCAAGAAGGUUUCACCAGAAGUGAUUGCUAAGUACACAGUUCGCGCCUUGUUGCGCACUACCCCAGCAGCUGUCCCUGCUGUUGUGUUCUUGUCCGGUGGACAGAGUGAGGAGGAGGCUACCCUCAAC
This 7782-nucleotide long non-coding RNA is filed under the name Malus domestica (apple). RNAcentral's name for it is "long non-coding RNA (MDOM_LNC011039)". Lineage: Eukaryota; Viridiplantae; Streptophyta; Magnoliopsida; Rosales; Rosaceae. The record is from RNAcentral.